UACCAGCACCCCGAGUGGUCGGGACGAUUAUUGGGCGUAAAGCGCGUGUAGGCGGCUUUGCAAGUCGGGUGUGAAAGCCCUCAGCUCAACUGAGGAAGUGCGCCCGAAACUGCAGAGCUUGAGUACCGGAGAGGGUGGCGGAAUUCCCCAAGUAGAGGUGAAAUUCGUAGAUAUGGGGAGGAACACCGGUGGCGAAGGCGGCCACCUGGACGGUCACUGACGCUGAGACGCGAAAGCGUGGGGAGCAAACAGG
This 253-nucleotide ribosomal RNA is filed under the name uncultured bacterium. RNAcentral's name for it is "partial 16S ribosomal RNA". The stretch from base 27 to 253 matches the Rfam family "Bacterial small subunit ribosomal RNA", at positions 550 to 776 of the family's 1533-position model. The record is from RNAcentral.